UACGGGAGGCAGCAGUGGGGAAUAUUGGGCAAUGGGGGAAACCCUGACCCAGCAACGCCGCGUGAGGGAAGAAGGUUUUCGGAUCGUAAACCUCUGUCCUUGGUGAAGAGGAAGAGACGGUAGCCAAGGAGGAAGCCCCGGCUAACUACGUGCCAGCAGCCGCGGUAAU
This 169-nucleotide ribosomal RNA is filed under the name uncultured rumen bacterium. Its description in RNAcentral is "partial 16S ribosomal RNA". It matches the Rfam family "Bacterial small subunit ribosomal RNA", at positions 340 to 524 of the family's 1533-position model. The record is from RNAcentral.